RNAcentral lists this non-coding RNA (30 nucleotides) under Mus musculus (house mouse). The record is from RNAcentral. Lineage: Eukaryota; Metazoa; Chordata; Mammalia; Rodentia; Muridae.
UAGGUAGCCAAAGAUGUCUAUCAUGUGGGU